GCAAGUCGAGGGGUAACAGAAUAGCUUGCUAUUGCUGACGACCGGCGCACGGGUGCGUAACGCGUAUACAAUCUACCUUAUACAGGAGAAUAGCCCUAAGAAAUUGGGAUUAAUGCUCCAUAGUAAUAUGAUAUCGCAUGAUAUUAUGUUUAAAGCUUCGGUGGUAUAAGAUGAGUAUGCGUCCUAUUAGUUAGUUGGUAAGGUAACGGCUUACCAAGACAGCGAUAGGUAGGGGGCCUGAGAGGGUUAUC
This 251-nucleotide ribosomal RNA is filed under the name uncultured bacterium. Its description in RNAcentral is "partial 16S ribosomal RNA". It matches the Rfam family "Bacterial small subunit ribosomal RNA", at positions 57 to 305 of the family's 1533-position model. The record is from RNAcentral.